Molecule: ribosomal RNA, 530 nt
Filed under: uncultured archaeon
Lineage: Archaea
Description: bacterial SSU rRNA
Rfam family: Archaeal small subunit ribosomal RNA
Source: RNAcentral
GGUAACACCGGCAGCUCUAGUGGUAGUCUGUUUUAUUGGGCCGUAAAGCGUUCGUAGCCGGUUUAAUAAGUCUCUGGUGAAAUCCUAUAGCUUAACUGUGGGAAUUGCUGGAGAUACUAUUAGACUUGAGAUCGGGAGAGGUCAGAGGUACUCCUGGGGUAGGGGUGAAAUCCUGUAAUCCUAGGAGGACCACCUGUGGCGAAGGCGUCUGACUAGAACGAAUCUGACGGUGAGGAACGAAAGCUAGGGGCGCGAACCGGAUUAGAUACCCGGGUAGUCCUAGCCGUAAACUAUGCGGACUUGGUGUGAGGGUGGCUUUGAGCCGUCCUGGUGCCGAAGGGAAGCUGUUAAGUCCGCCGCCCGGGAAGUACGGUCGCAAGACCGAAACUUAAAGGAAUUGGCGGGGGAGCACCACAACGCGUGGAGCCUGCGGUUUAAUUGGAUUCAACGCCGGAGAUCUCACCAGCGGCGACAGCAGUAUGAUGACCAGGUUGAUGACUUUGUUUGACAAGCUGAGAGGUGGUGCAUGG